AUUGAACGCUGGCGGCAGGCCUAACACAUGCAAGUCGAGCGAGCGGCGGACGGGUGAGUAAUGUGUGGGAAACUGCCUGAUGGAGGGGGAUAACUACUGGAAACGGUAGCUAAUACCGCAUACCAUCGGAUGUGCCCAGAUGGGAUUAGCUAGUUGGUGGGGUAACGGCUCACCUAGGCGACGAUCCCUAGCUGGGUUGAGAGGAUGACCAGCAACACGGGAACGGAGACACGGUCCAGACUCCUACGGGAGGCAGCAGGGGGGAAUAUUGCACAAUGGGCGCAAGCCUGAUGCAGCCAUGCCGCGUGUAUGAAGAAGGCCUUCGGGUUGUAAAGUACUUUCAGCGGGGAGGCGUUACCCGCAGAAGAAGCACCGGCUAACUCCGUGCCAGCAGCCGCGGUAAUUC
This 406-nucleotide ribosomal RNA is filed under the name uncultured bacterium. RNAcentral describes it as "partial 16S ribosomal RNA". It matches the Rfam family "Bacterial small subunit ribosomal RNA", at positions 29 to 526 of the family's 1533-position model. The record is from RNAcentral.